CCUGGGGAUCUUGUUGAAAUGCAGAUUCUGAUUCAGCAGGCCAGAGAUUCUGCAUCUCUAACAAGCUCCCUGGUGAUGCUGAUGCUGCU
Molecule: microRNA precursor, 89 nt
Filed under: Ovis aries (sheep)
Lineage: Eukaryota; Metazoa; Chordata; Mammalia; Artiodactyla; Bovidae
Description: miRNA (ENSOARG00000021288.1)
Rfam family: mir-544 microRNA precursor family
Source: RNAcentral